CAAUCCCCAGGCUGGGGCGGGGCGCAAUGCCUUAACCCCUUUGUAGCUGCGUCCAGGUUUGCGCUUGGGACCCCUCUAUCUCGCCUUCUCCAAGGCUGCGUGAUUUCAGGGAGGACCACUGAAUGUUUUUUUCCUAAGCCUUUGCCCUAGGUGGUAAAAUCAGGAGUGCCUCAAAUGGCCUAAGUGAACAUUGCCCUCACCAAACAAGCCUCCUUAUCAAAUCGGCCAGGUGCAAUUUUGACUUAUCUCUGAGUAGCAGGCUUCAGUUCUCUGUCAGCCUGUGGAAUCAUUCAAACAAGCCAAUCACGUUCCCUGCAGGAAUGAUGGGCUCACCUCACCCUCUUGCUGCUACAAAGCCUGUCCUGCCCAGCUUCUGGUUGUACACUGUAUUUCUGAGUGCAACACCUGGAUGGUCCUGUGUGACCUGUGGUGUCCUCCUUCGCUGAGCUGUGAGGAUAUAGGUGCCCAAUAAACUGCUGUCAAUCUCC
Molecule: long non-coding RNA, 488 nt
Organism: Neofelis nebulosa (Clouded leopard)
Lineage: Eukaryota; Metazoa; Chordata; Mammalia; Carnivora; Felidae
Exons: 3
Source: RefSeq, a predicted model, not a curated record